This 468-nucleotide ribosomal RNA is filed under the name uncultured bacterium. RNAcentral describes it as "partial 16S ribosomal RNA". It matches the Rfam family "Bacterial small subunit ribosomal RNA", at positions 28 to 507 of the family's 1533-position model. The record is from RNAcentral.
GACGAACGCUGGCGGCGUGCUUAACACAUGCAAGUUGAACGGAAAGGCCCUGCUUUUGUGGGGUGCUCGAGUGGCGAACGGGUGAGUAACACGUGAGUAACCUGCCCUUGACUUUGGGAUAAUUUCAGGAAACUGGGGCUAAUACCGGAUAGGAGCUCCUGCUGCAUGGUGGGGGUUGGAAAGUUUCGGCGGUUGGGGAUGGACUCGCGGCUUAUCAGCUUGUUGGUGGGGUAGUGGCUUACCAAGGCUUUGACGGGUAGCCGGCCUGAGAGGGUGACCGGCCACAUUGGGACUGAGAUACGGCCCAGACUCCUACGGGAGGCAGCAGUGGGGAAUAUUGCACAAUGGGCGGAAGCCUGAUGCAGCAACGCCGCGUGCGGGAUGACGGCCUUCGGGUUGUAAACCGCUUUCGCCUGUGACGAAGCGUGAGUGACGGUAAUGGGUAAAGAAGCACCGGCUAACUACGUG